Molecule: ribosomal RNA, 226 nt
Filed under: uncultured bacterium
Lineage: Bacteria
Description: partial 16S ribosomal RNA
Rfam family: Bacterial small subunit ribosomal RNA
Source: RNAcentral
AGCGAACGCUGGCGGCAUGCUUAACACAUGCAAGUCGCACGAAGGUUUCGGCCUUAGUUGCGGACGGGUGAGUAACGCGUAGGAAUCUAUCCGUGGGUGGGGGAUAACUCUGGGAAACUGGAGCUAAUACCGCAUGACACCUGAGGGUCAAAGGCGCAAGUCGCCUGCGGAGGAGCCUGCGUUUGAUUAGCUUGUUGGUGGGGUAAUGGCCUACCAAGGCGAUGAU